GCAAGUGUGUCGUAAGGGUAGCCGAGCUGAGUUUAGGUCUCAGUGACGUAAGUCGUGUGGGUUCAAGUCCCACCACUUGUA
Molecule: transfer RNA, 81 nt
Filed under: Sterigmatomyces sp.
Lineage: Eukaryota; Fungi; Basidiomycota; Agaricostilbomycetes; Agaricostilbales; Agaricostilbaceae
Description: tRNA-Leu
Rfam family: tRNA
About the family: Transfer RNA (tRNA) molecules are approximately 80 nucleotides in length.
Source: RNAcentral